This 728-nucleotide long non-coding RNA is filed under the name Sus scrofa (pig). RNAcentral's name for it is "lncRNA (ENSSSCG00070010801.1)". The record is from RNAcentral. Lineage: Eukaryota; Metazoa; Chordata; Mammalia; Artiodactyla; Suidae.
AUGGAUACUAGCCAGAUUUGUUUCCAUUGCGCCAGGACAGGAACUCCAAGGUGCAUCUCUCUUUUCUUUUCUUUCUUUCUUUCUUUUUUUUUUUUUUUUUUCAGUCGAGUUUCCCACAUUUGGGGAAAUCGCAGGGGUCAGCACAUCCGGAGUGCAAUGGAUAAGCCUCGCCCUGGGAAAACCACCUUCGUGAUCAUGGUAUCUCCCCUGCCAGGUAAGUAUGAGUUGCCGGCCUCGCCUGCCUCCUCACCCUCCGACCCCAGACACUUCGCACAGACGGUCACUCCAGUCACGGACCCGCUACACCACCGCCUGCACCCAAACGACGCCUCAAAACCACAAAAGCCUGGCGAAAACACGCUGGACGCUGGAACUCCUGCCAAAAGUAAGCACAGUAUGCAGAAAGGGAACAGGACCAGCAGCCACUGCGCUCAUCUACAUACUCCAAGCAUCGCCUAGUGACAUCACUCGGCAGCGCCCGACGACUCUAUCCCCGGCCUUGCUUGAUGCGGUAGCUGACUAACAACCCACCAACAUGUCCGCGCCCCAAUCCCUGGAACCUGUGACUGUUACCUCCCUUUGGGGCAAAACGAUUUUAUGGAGUUCCCUGGUGAUCUACUGGUUAGGACUUAGCACCUUCACCAGUGCAGCCUGGGUUCCGUCCCAUCCGGAGAGAUCCCAGGGGUCAGCACAUCUGGGAACUGACAUUCCACAUCAAGCCACUGCAC